UAGGAUUACAAGAUAGGAGCCUAAAAAAUCCUGAAAAUUAGGGCCUUGCCACCUUUUGUUAGAAGACUUGUGUUAUAGGAUUUUUGAUAGACAGGAUUCGACAAAAGGACUUAGUCAUAACAUAAAUAACAUAAAAAUGGAUUGUGCAAAAAUCCAUAGUUUUUUAUUAUUAUUUAUUCUAGUUAUUCUAGUAAAAUAUAAAAUAAAUGGAAAUAAAAAGAAAUAGGAAGAAAGAAAAAGAAUAGAAAUAAUAUUUUGAUUCUAUAUCAUAGGAACGGAAAUAGGACUUCUUCC
This 294-nucleotide long non-coding RNA is filed under the name Gossypium barbadense (sea-island cotton). RNAcentral's name for it is "long non-coding RNA (GBAR_LNC008987)". Lineage: Eukaryota; Viridiplantae; Streptophyta; Magnoliopsida; Malvales; Malvaceae. The record is from RNAcentral.